AAAGGGUGCGUAGGUGGUUGUGUAAGUUAGGUGUGAAAGUCCUGGGCUUAACCUGGGGACUGCGCCUAAUACUGCAAAGCUAGAGUACUGUAGAGGAAAGUGGAAUUUCCGGUGUAGCGGUGAAAUGCGUAGAUAUCGGAAGGAACAUCAGUGGCGAAGGCGACUUUCUGGACAGAUACUGACACUGAGGCACGAAAGCAUGGGGAGCAAACAGGAUUAGAUACCCGAGU
Molecule: ribosomal RNA, 230 nt
Filed under: uncultured bacterium
Lineage: Bacteria
Description: partial 16S ribosomal RNA
Rfam family: Bacterial small subunit ribosomal RNA
Source: RNAcentral